RNAcentral lists this non-coding RNA (27 nucleotides) under Rattus norvegicus (Norway rat). Lineage: Eukaryota; Metazoa; Chordata; Mammalia; Rodentia; Muridae. The record is from RNAcentral.
UGGUUGUCUUUGAGCAGAGUCCCAGGA